RNAcentral lists this ribosomal RNA (424 nucleotides) under uncultured bacterium. RNAcentral describes it as "bacterial SSU rRNA". It matches the Rfam family "Bacterial small subunit ribosomal RNA", at positions 355 to 776 of the family's 1533-position model. The record is from RNAcentral.
UCGAGAAUAUUCGACAAUGGGCGAAAGCCUGAUCGAGCGACGCCGCGUGCAGGAUGAAGGCCCUCGGGUUGUAAACUGCUUUUCUUCAGGAUGAAGUAUGGUCCGCAAGGGUCAUAUUGACGGUACUGAGGGAAUAAGUGGCUGCAAACUUCGUGCCAGCAGCCGCGGUAAUACGAAGGCCACAAGCGUUAUCCGGAUUUAUUGGGCGUAAAGGGUGCGUAGGAGGACCGAUGCGUCUCUUGUUAAAUUUCACCGCUCAACGGUGAAGCCGCAAGGGAUACGAUCGGACUAGAGGGCGUUAGAGGCAGAUGGAACACACGGUGUAGGGGUGAAAUCCGUUGAUAUCGUGUGGAACACCAAAGGCGAAGGCAUUCUGCUGGGACGUUCCUGACUCUGAGGCACGAAAGCGUGGGGAGCAAAAAGG